CAAAUAAAUUAUAAGCAAUCACCCCUUGGUUUAUUCUCCUUUUGUUCAUUCUUCUCAUCUCCAUUGAGACUACAUAUAUAACCACCCUUCUCUUUUCUCCUUCUUUCUCAGUCUGGCGAAUAACCUGCGGCAGAUUCUAUGAGUCAACACAACCAAGAUUGGAUGAUAUGACUGUGCACAAGCAGGGGCUUACCUCCAUCGACACCAGUGAUGGCUUAUCCUCCACCGGGUCAGGCUUAUCAGCACCACCAAACACCACCACCCGGAUAUCCCACCACCAUGCAAGGUGUCCAAGAUUCAUCACACAUCACAGCUGAGACCAAUAGCAAGGGUGAAGGUUUCUGGAAAGGAUGUGUUGCUGCGAUAUGCUGCUGCUGGGUCCUGGAAUUUUGCUGUGGAUGUUGAUUAUUAAGAGUUCAUUAAUGUUAUCAGUUUAUGUGAAAUAAUGAAUACCUUUUUUCCUUUCAUUUUACUACUUGUAUGGGAGUUAAUUAAGAUAUUAAAGAAAAAAAUAACUUUUUUUAAUUUUCUCCUAAAUUAUAAUCUGAUCAAUUUUCAUUUAUAAUCUGCCCUUGUAAAUGUCUACUCUUUGAGAGAGACAAGCUGAGUAGGGGAUUCUUUAUUAUAUAUGCAUCAAUAUCAAUAAGUAUAAUAAUAAAAGGUUAAGCUCGAAAUUUAUUUAGGCAA
Long non-coding RNA from Neltuma alba, 687 nucleotides. RefSeq lists it as uncharacterized. The transcript has 3 exons. Lineage: Eukaryota; Viridiplantae; Streptophyta; Magnoliopsida; Fabales; Fabaceae. The record is from RefSeq and is a predicted model, not a curated record.